This 178-nucleotide small nuclear RNA is filed under the name Puccinia sorghi. RNAcentral's name for it is "U1". It matches the Rfam family "U1 spliceosomal RNA". From Rfam's summary of the family: U1 is a small nuclear RNA (snRNA) component of the spliceosome (involved in pre-mRNA splicing). Its 5' end forms complementary base pairs with the 5' splice junction, thus defining the 5' donor site of an intron. There are significant differences in sequence and secondary structure between metazoan and yeast U1 snRNAs, the latter being much longer (568 nucleotides as compared to 164 nucleotides in human). The record is from RNAcentral. Lineage: Eukaryota; Fungi; Basidiomycota; Pucciniomycetes; Pucciniales; Pucciniaceae.
AUACUUACCUUGCGUUCGCAGUCUUGGGCGAUCAAGGAUGCCUGGCUGUCGUCAGUAGGUCUGCGCAUUGCACAGCGACCCAUUCGCUCCACGCAGAACUGCUGGCGGGUUUGUGUCCAUGAUGCAAGCCGAUGCUCAAUCUCUUGAACGGACGGGCCGGCUUUCGAGCUGGUCCGCC